This 420-nucleotide ribosomal RNA is filed under the name uncultured Barnesiella sp. Its description in RNAcentral is "bacterial SSU rRNA". It matches the Rfam family "Bacterial small subunit ribosomal RNA", at positions 355 to 773 of the family's 1533-position model. The record is from RNAcentral. Lineage: Bacteria; Pseudomonadati; Bacteroidota; Bacteroidia; Bacteroidales; Barnesiellaceae.
UGAGGAAUAUUGGUCAAUGGGCGGGAGCCUGAACCAGCCAAGUCGCGUGAGGGAUGACGGCCCUAUGGGUNGUAAACCUCUUUUGCCGGGGNGCAAAGUGCCGCACGUGUGCGGUUUGGAGAGUACCCGGAGAAAAAGCAUCGGCUAACUCCGUGCCAGCAGCCGCGGUAAUACGGAGGAUGCGAGCGUUAUCCGGAUUUAUUGGGUUUAAAGGGUGCGUAGGCGGACGCUUAAGUCAGCGGUAAAAUUGCGGGGCUCAACCUCGUCGAGCCGUUGAAACUGGGUGCCUUGAGUGGGCGAGAAGUACGCGGAAUGCGUGGUGUAGCGGUGAAAUGCAUAGAUAUCACGCAGAACUCCGAUUGCGAAGGCAGCGUACCGGCGCCCAACUGACGCUGAAGCACGAAGGCGUGGGUAUCGAAC